CGGGUGAGUAAUGUAUGGGGAUCUGCCUGAUGGCGGGGGGUAACUACUGGAAACGGUAGCUAAUACCGCAUAAUGUCUACGGACCAAAGCGGGGGACCUCCGGGCCUCGCGCCAUCAGAUGAACCCAUAUGGGAUUAGCUAGUAGGUAAGGUAACGGCUUACCUAGGCGACGAUCCCUAGCUGGUCUGAGAGGAUGAUCAGCCACACUGGGACUGAGGCACGGUCCAG
RNAcentral lists this ribosomal RNA (228 nucleotides) under uncultured bacterium. RNAcentral describes it as "partial 16S ribosomal RNA". It matches the Rfam family "Bacterial small subunit ribosomal RNA", at positions 103 to 334 of the family's 1533-position model. The record is from RNAcentral.